RNAcentral lists this ribosomal RNA (449 nucleotides) under uncultured Mycetocola sp. RNAcentral describes it as "bacterial SSU rRNA". It matches the Rfam family "Bacterial small subunit ribosomal RNA", at positions 335 to 796 of the family's 1533-position model. Lineage: Bacteria; Bacillati; Actinomycetota; Actinomycetes; Micrococcales; Microbacteriaceae. The record is from RNAcentral.
UAGCCUACGGGAGGCAGCAGUGGGGAAUAUUGCACAAUGGGCGAAAGCCUGAUGCAGCAACGCCGCGUGAGGGACGACGGCCUUCGGGUUGUAAACCUCUUUUAGCAGGAAAGAAGCGAAAGUGACGGUACCUGCAGAAAAAGCGCCGGCUAACUACGUGCCAGCAGCCGCGGUAAUACGUAGGGCGCAAGCGUUAUCCGGAAUUAUUGGGCGUAAAGAGCUCGUAGGCGGUCUGUCGCGUCUGCUGUGAAAACCCGAGGCUCAACCUCGGGCCUGCAGUGGGUACGGGCAGACUAGAGUGCGGUAGGGGAGAUUGGAAUUCCUGGUGUAGCGGUGGAAUGCGCAGAUAUCAGGAGGAACACCGAUGGCGAAGGCAGAUCUCUGGGCCGUAACUGACGCUGAGGAGCGAAAGGGUGGGGAGCAAACAGGAUUAGAUACCCCGGUAGUCA